This 440-nucleotide ribosomal RNA is filed under the name uncultured bacterium. RNAcentral describes it as "partial 16S ribosomal RNA". It matches the Rfam family "Bacterial small subunit ribosomal RNA", at positions 338 to 795 of the family's 1533-position model. The record is from RNAcentral.
CCUACGGGGUGCAGCAGUAGGGAAUAUUGCUCAAUGGGGGAAACCCUGAAGCAGCAACGCCGCGUGGAGGAUGAAGGUUUUCGGAUUGUAAACUCCUUUUGUUAGAGAAGAUAAUGACGGUAUCUAACGAAUAAGCACCGGCUAACUCUGUGCCAGCAGCCGCGGUAAUACGGAGGGUGCAAGCGUUACUCGGAAUCACUGGGCGUAAAGCGCGCGUAGGCGGGAUAGCAAGUCAGAUGUGAAAUCCUAUGGCUUAACCAUAGAACUGCAUUUGAAACUGUUAUUCUAGAGUAUGGGAGAGGUAGGUGGAAUUCUUGGUGUAGGGGUAAAAUCCGUAGAGAUCAAGAGGAAUACUCAUUGCGAAGGCGACCUGCUAGAACAUAACUGACGCUGAUGCGCGAAAGCGUGGGGAGCAAACAGGAUUAGAUACCCCUGUAGUC